This 386-nucleotide ribosomal RNA is filed under the name uncultured bacterium. RNAcentral describes it as "bacterial SSU rRNA". It matches the Rfam family "Bacterial small subunit ribosomal RNA", at positions 375 to 754 of the family's 1533-position model. The record is from RNAcentral.
GCGAAAGCCUGAUCCAGCAAUACCGCGUGUGUGAAGAAGGCCUUAGGGUUGUAAAGCACUUUCAAUUGGGAGGAAAACCUGCCGGUCAAUACCCGGUAGCUUGACAUUACCUUUAGAAGAAGCACCGGCUAACUCCGUGCCAGCAGCCGCGGUAAUACGGAGGGUGCGAGCGUUAAUCGGAAUUACUGGGCGUAAAGCGUGCGUAGGCGGUUCGUUAAGUCAGAUGUGAAAGCCCUGGGCUCAACCUGGGAACUGCAUUUGAAACUGGCGGACUAGAGUUUAGUAGAGGGGAGUGGAAUUUCAGGUGUAGCGGUGAAAUGCGUAGAUAUCUGAAGGAACACCAGUGGCGAAGGCGACUCCCUGGACUAGAACUGACGCUGAGGUAC